CCCGACCCCCGCGGAGGCGGGCACGGCGCUGCCGAGAGAUUUGUUGGAAGGAACACAGAGGAGUGUUCUACACAAUGUUGUCAUUAAACCUCAGUAAUACUCACUGAGUAAAUUCAAAGUCCUUUUGAAAAAGACCUGCAUGUUAAUUCUCACUAUUUUGAAAAUCUACUGCCAACUUUGGUGAAGGGGACUUAAGAAAGGAGAACUUAAUCAAGGUGAUCUGAAAGCUAGUGAUGAUGAAAUUAAAACUUUUAACUCAUCAUGAAGACUGUGAGUACAUUCUGAUAGUUGCAGAAGUUAUGGUCCUGUUUUCCUACCCCAGAGAAGGAAGCAUAAACAUGAGAAAAAAAGCGUUUAAAUGGCAGAACUUCAAGCUGUGCAUAGUACAUCUUAAAGAGAGCCUGCAGAAAAAGUGUGAAAAGAAGUGCCACAUAAAAUGAAGAGGGAAGGAGAAUUUUUGAAAGGCAUAAAUGAAAAAUAAUAAAUUUAUUUCCACAAGUUUUCUUCUAAUGAUGUAUUUAAAGGUAUUGUAUCUGUUAAAUUACCACAGAGCAAAAAGAGAUUUAAUGAAGGGAACAAUUAUUACAGAGGUUCCUUUCCCUUUAUCUUGAGAAAAGCUGUAUAAUUAUUGAUUUUGAGCCUAUUCUUUGAAAUGUAAAAAGAUAAGAGGUCUCUAGGAAUUGAAAUAACAGAAAAGAAAAUCUGGAAACAAAUAGAUAAAUUAAGAUAAUAUGUUUCAAACUCAGUUGGUGUAUCUCCUGGAGUUUGAAAGGAACUUCGAGCUCCUCAGAAAACAACCAAAAACUCCCAUUAGUUUCAAGUACUAUAUCAAGUGACUGGAAGGCACUUCUUAACAUAGAGUAUUAUAAUAUUUCGUAACAUAAUACAAUGUGAUUUAAUAUAUGCAGCAUUACAACUAAAAACACCUUUAAAAGGACCAGGAAAAUGUUUUGAUGAAAGAUUUGAAAGAUUACCCUUAGUUUUAAAGAACAAAAAGAAACUAAGAUGUAUUAGAAAAUCAGUAAUAAAUACUUCCAUUAACAUGACCUAGAUGUAAAAUACUAUUGUGAAAAAUCAAGUAGCAAAAACUAUGAGAGUCAAUUACAAAUUUUCAAUACAU
Non-coding RNA from Lonchura striata (white-rumped munia), 1120 nucleotides. Lineage: Eukaryota; Metazoa; Chordata; Aves; Passeriformes; Estrildidae. The record is from RefSeq and is a predicted model, not a curated record.